This 427-nucleotide ribosomal RNA is filed under the name uncultured bacterium. Its description in RNAcentral is "bacterial SSU rRNA". It matches the Rfam family "Bacterial small subunit ribosomal RNA", at positions 356 to 774 of the family's 1533-position model. The record is from RNAcentral.
AGGGAAUCUUCCGCAAUGGACGAAAGUCUGACGGAGCAACGCCGCGUGAGUGAUGAAGGCUUUCGGGUCGUAAAACUCUGUUGUUAGGGAAGAACAAGUGCUAGUUGAAUAAGCUGGCACCUUGACGGUACCUAACCAGAAAGCCACGGCUAACUACGUGCCAGCAGCCGCGGUAAUACGUAGGUGGCAAGCGUUAUCCGGAAUUAUUGGGCGUAAAGCGCGCGCAGGUGGUUUCUUAAGUCUGAUGUGAAAGCCCACGGCUCAACCGUGGAGGGUCAUUGGAAACUGGGAGACUUGAGUGCAGAAGAGGAAAGUGGAAUUCCAUGUGUAGCGGUGAAAUGCGUAGAGAUAUGGAGGAACACCAGUGGCGAAGGCGACUUUCUGGUCUGUAACUGACACUGAGGCGCGAAAGCGUGGGGAGCAAACA